GUGCAGCCGCCGCGGUAAUACCGGCAGCCCGAGUGAUGGCCGAUCUUAUUGGGCCUAAAGCGUCCGUAGCUGGCUGCGCAAGUCCGUCGGGAAAUCCACUCGCCCAACGAGUGGGCGUCCGACGGAAACUGCACAGCUUGGGACCGGAAGGCUCGAAGGGUACGUUCGGGGUAGGAGUGAAAUCCCAUAAUCCCGCACGGACCACCGAUGGCGAAAGCACUUCGAGAAAACGGAUCCGACAGUGAGGGACGAAAGCUAAGAUCGCGAACCGGAUUAGAAACCCUAGUAGUCC
RNAcentral lists this ribosomal RNA (292 nucleotides) under uncultured bacterium. RNAcentral describes it as "partial 16S ribosomal RNA". It matches the Rfam family "Archaeal small subunit ribosomal RNA", at positions 455 to 747 of the family's 1478-position model. The record is from RNAcentral.